GAAUAACUACACAUAACCCCUGAUAACAGAAAAAGACAUUUCCAAUGGAGUCUACUGGGGAAGCCAGCGUGCAUUAUGACCGCUGGAGUGAGAAUAACAUCAACAUGAAUGUGGAAAGUUCUCAGUCUACCACCAUGAGGAUCUACAACAGAGUAUGUGUUGGAACGACUGGGAUUGCGCUACGGGCAGCAGGAGUAGUGUGCGCACUGGUGGUCUUUUACAUUAUAGGUUAUGCGACAGGAUACUAUGUCCAUCGGUGCCCAUUGUGAAGGCCCUGUCAAAAAAGAAGAUUUCUUGAAAUUUUGUGAAAUCGACCUCUUGCACAUUGAUAAUGAGAGGAGUGUGUGCAGAAUGCAGAAUGAUGAGA
Long non-coding RNA from Girardinichthys multiradiatus, 367 nucleotides. RefSeq lists it as uncharacterized. The transcript is spliced from 2 exons. The record is from RefSeq and is a predicted model, not a curated record. NCBI's taxonomy places the organism in Eukaryota, Metazoa, Chordata, Actinopteri, Cyprinodontiformes, Goodeidae.